CGUCCCGCCGGGAGUCAAGCAAAGGUCCCAGGACAGCUGGCCGGGGCUGCCCUGUGCCCCUGGGGUGGCGGCCGGGGCGGGGGUAGGGGCUCUAGCAGGUGCAUGGCAGGCCGAGUGGCUCAGCCAGGGCCAGGCUGCCAGGGCCAAAGGUGGCUUCAUCGCCUUCACUGCCCACAGGGUAGGAGGAGCUUAGGGGGCUGAGUGGGAGGUGCCUAGGACACUGGGUAGGAGGAGCUUAGGGGGCUGAGUGGGAGGUGCCUAGGGGACUGAGUGGGAGGAGCUUAGGGCACUGAGUGGAAGGUCUCUAAGACACUGGGUGGGAGGUACCUAGGGCACUGGGUGGGAUGUCGCUAAGACACUGGGUGGGAGGUACCUAGGGCACUGAGUGGGAGGAGCUUAGGGCAUUGGGUGGGAGGUGCCUAAACACUGGGUAGGAGGAGCUUAGGACACUGAGUGGAAGGUCUCUAAGACACUGGGUGGGAGGUGCCUAGGGCACUGAGUGGGAGGAGCUUAGGAUACUGAGUGGGAGGUCUCUAAGACACUGGGUGGAAGGUACUUAGGGCACUGAGUGGGAGGAGCUUAGGGCAUUGGGUGGGAGGUGCCUAAGAUACUGAUUGGGAGGAGCUUAGGGCACUGGGUGGGAGGGGUGAGGGCAUGACCCUGCAGACGCUGCCGGCAAGGGGUCCUUGCUGGGUUUGCUUCACCCUUCCUGGCCUCCUGUUAAACCCCUCGCUCCCCCUGGAGGCCAGGGCAGCCCUCCCUACCCUGGGCCGCAGCAGCUAGGAUAUAGGCUUUGCACGUUCUCAAUGAAGAGCCCCACCAGGUCGACAAUGUUCCUCUCAAACAUGCUUAUGGUCUCCUGGAAAUGAGAACGCACAGUCACCGUGCGUCUUCAGACGCCCAGCACCACGGCAUAAACACCCUAGGGACCGAGCAGCCAUCUGCCCGCUCACACACCAGCCACCGUGCCCUCUCAGGCCCGACUCACUCACCGCCAGCACCCUCCGAAGUGUCAUGUCGGUGCCCUGUGCCGGGCCCACCUGUCACAGCCUGACUCCUCUCAACCCCCCCCCCCCAC
Molecule: non-coding RNA, 1078 nt
Organism: Oryctolagus cuniculus (rabbit)
Lineage: Eukaryota; Metazoa; Chordata; Mammalia; Lagomorpha; Leporidae
Source: RefSeq, a predicted model, not a curated record